CAGGAAACUUGACUUUGUCGUAAUAAAAUGGAUGAGAAUGACUGGUUGUUGGCUCACUGAUUGAACAGGUUGAUGGUAUCUCGCUCCCUCUUUUAGGACAUUACCACACUCAAAAAGGCAUGUUGUAAUGCAACAAAAUAGGAAAAACGCCAAGGGGGGUGACUACUUUUGCAUGUGUACACCAUCAGAUCUCGAGGAUUCAUCCAAAACCCUAUCUGGAGGAUUAUGGGUAAUGAGGGAGAAGAGAGAUGGACAGAGAAAGAAAGCUGCUGAUAGAAUGAUGGUUUGAACUUUUCCAGGAACCUCUGGGUUGAUGCCGACUUCCAGUCGGAAAAUAGCAGGGGGCAGCAUGGUUCUUCUGGAGAGUUUCUGGGGGUUGGAUGGUCCACUCUACAAAAAAUUUGACCUGGGCUUCGUGUUACAGGAGCAGACAGACAUCCCUCUCUCGCCGCAGACUGCUUCUUGACAGCCCCCACCCGCUGUUUGUGCCAAAGCCAGAACGAAGCAACCCACAUCAGCACUUCCAGCUUUCCUGCACAUUUCUGAGGAUCCUUGUGAAUCUCAAUCCAAAUUCUCAUUGAAAGCUCAAGCAAAACACUCACAGAUGAGCCUAAUGACUCUACAUGCAGGGCUUGCUACCAAACUUCUCUGAAGUUGAGAAAUGUUGCAUUUCAAAGCAGAUGUAUUGCUCAUUUCGAGAUUAACUUGAACCUCCUUAGAUUUGGGGUUUGGAGUAGAAGAGAGGCCAUAUUUCCCCCUAUAUUUCCCCCAACAAUGGAAAAGACAAACUGAAAUGACACUCUCCGGUUUCACCAAGCAUCUAGACAAACUGUACUGUUCGAUGCUGGGUUUGUUAGGUAUUCAUCAAAUAUUUUUUCCAGUGUAUCCAUCAGCAGGUGAACAUUCUUACUGUGUUUAUCUGUGCUCUUUCCUUUUAGACGCUAAUACACGUGUGCUUGGCAGCAGGCAGGCCUGCUGAGGGAUGGCCGGCCGGUGAAAAGCCCAACAGCCGUUGGAUUUGUAACUGCCUGUCCAAAAAUCUGCCAGGGCAGGAGCUGCCUGUCCAAAAUUCAGCCAGGACCUGCGCUAGACAUUGUGUAGCCUACACGUCUUGCUUCUUUCAAACUCUGACCUGAGCCCCCAAUACAUUGAGUUUACAUAGAUGUAUUUUUGGACCAUGGUUUACAUAUAUAAUGUAUACAAAAAAUUAAGUACACCUGCUCUUUACAUGACAUCCAGGUGAAAGCUAUGAUCUCUUAUUGAUGUCACCUGUUAAAUCCACUUUAAUCAGUAUAGAUGAAGGGGAGGAGGUAGGCUACAGAAGGAUUUGAAGGGGGUAUGGUAGUAGGUGCCAGGCGCACCAUUUUGAGUUUGUCAAGAACUGCAACGCUGCUGGGGUUUUUUAAGCUCAAGUUUCCUGUGUGUAACAAGAAUGGUCCAGCACCAGCCAACUUGAUACAACUGUGGAAAGUAUUGGAGUCAACAUUAGCCGGCAUCCCUGUGGAACGCUUUGGACACCUUGUACAGGCUGUUCUGAGGGAAAAAGGAG
Molecule: long non-coding RNA, 1549 nt
Filed under: Salmo salar (Atlantic salmon)
Lineage: Eukaryota; Metazoa; Chordata; Actinopteri; Salmoniformes; Salmonidae
Description: lncRNA (ENSSSAG00000090775.1)
Source: RNAcentral